AUUCCAGCUCCAAUAGCGUAUACUAAAGUUGUUGCAGUUAAAAAGCUCGUAGUUGAAUUUCUGGAUGCGAAAGAUGGUCGGCACCUCACGGUGUCUGUACUUUUCAUUCGCGUCCAUCCUCGGGAGGAACGUGUGGGGCUUUAAGUAGUUCUGCUCGGGAAUCUCGUCAUUUACUGUGAGCAAAAUAGAGUGUUCAAAGCAGGCUUAUGCCGUUGAAUAUAUUAGCAUGGAAUAAUAAGAUACGACUAUGGUCUAUUUUGUUGGUUUGCAUUCCAAAGUAAUGAUUGAUAGGGAUAGUUGGGGGUGCUAGUAUUUUGCGGCCAGAGGUGAAAUUCUGUGAUUCGCGAAAGACUAACUUAUGCGAAAGCAUUCACCAAGGAUGUCUUCAUCA
RNAcentral lists this ribosomal RNA (391 nucleotides) under Chrysophyceae sp. RNAcentral describes it as "partial small subunit ribosomal RNA". It matches the Rfam family "Eukaryotic small subunit ribosomal RNA", at positions 582 to 975 of the family's 1831-position model. Lineage: Eukaryota; Chrysophyceae. The record is from RNAcentral.